Molecule: ribosomal RNA, 458 nt
Filed under: uncultured bacterium
Lineage: Bacteria
Description: bacterial SSU rRNA
Rfam family: Bacterial small subunit ribosomal RNA
Source: RNAcentral
AACGAACGCUGGCGGCAGGCCUAACACAUGCAAGUCGAGCGAACCCUUCGGGGUUAGCGGCGGACGGGUUAGUAACGCGUGGGAAUAUGCCCAAAGGUACGGAAUAGCCUCGGGAAACUGAGAGUAAUACCGUAUGUGCCCUUCGGGGGAAAGAUUUAUCGCCUUUGGAUUAGCCCGCGUUGGAUUAGGUAGUUGGUGGGGUAAUGGCCAACCAAGCCGACGAUCCAUAGCUGGUUUGAGAGGAUGAUCAGCAACACUGGGACUGAGACACGGCCCAGACUCCUACGGGAGGCAGCAGUGGGGAAUCUUAGACAAUGGGGGAAACCCUGAUCUAGCCAUGCCGCGUGGACGAUGAAGGCCUUAGGGUUGUAAAGUCCUUUCAGCUGGGAAGAUAAUGACGGUACCAGCAGAAGAAGCCCCGGCUAACUCCGUGCCAGCAGCCGCGGUAAUGUAGACGU